ACCUGGGUGGCUCAGUUGGUUGGGCAUCUGACUUCGGCUCAGGUCACGAUCUCACAGUUGGUGGGUUCGAGUCCCACGUCGGGCU
Felis catus (domestic cat) is the source of this 85-nucleotide non-coding RNA. Lineage: Eukaryota; Metazoa; Chordata; Mammalia; Carnivora; Felidae. The record is from Rfam.